Molecule: ribosomal RNA, 403 nt
Filed under: Verrucomicrobiota bacterium
Lineage: Bacteria; Pseudomonadati; Verrucomicrobiota
Description: Verrucomicrobia bacterium partial 16S ribosomal RNA
Rfam family: Bacterial small subunit ribosomal RNA
Source: RNAcentral
UGGGGAAUAUUGCACAAUGGGCGCAAGCCUGAUGCAGCAACGCCGCGUGAACGAUGAAGGUCUUCGGAUCGUAAAGUUCUGUUGCAGGGGAAGAUAAUGACGGUACCCUGUGAGGAAGCCCCGGCUAACUACGUGCCAGCAGCCGCGGUAAUACGUAGGGGGCUAGCGUUAUCCGGAUUUACUGGGCGUAAAGGGUGCGUAGGUGGUCUUUCAAGUCGGUGGUUAAAGGCUACGGCUCAACCGUAGUUAGCCUCCGAAACUGGAAGACUUGAGUGCAGGAGAGGAAAGUGGAAUUCCCAGUGUAGCGGUGAAAUGCGUAGAUAUUGGGAGGAACACCAGUAGCGAAGGCGGCUUUCUGGACUGCAACUGACACUGGGGCACGAAAGCGUGGGUAGCAAACAGG